CUGACCAGAAGUGAUGAGUUGUUUGGUUACCGCCCCAGUCUGAUUAAGAUGACUGAUUGGUAUCCCUCUGAUUCUG
Electrophorus electricus (electric eel) is the source of this 76-nucleotide small nucleolar RNA. NCBI's taxonomy places the organism in Eukaryota, Metazoa, Chordata, Actinopteri, Gymnotiformes, Gymnotidae. The record is from Ensembl.